Macaca mulatta (Rhesus monkey) is the source of this 198-nucleotide non-coding RNA. NCBI's taxonomy places the organism in Eukaryota, Metazoa, Chordata, Mammalia, Primates, Cercopithecidae. The record is from RefSeq and is a predicted model, not a curated record.
GCCUCCUAACCGCCCUCGGCCAGUGGCUGGCCAGGCUGUCGGUCACCCAGCCCAGCUGGUUCGCCGUCCCCCGCCGCAGGAGAGAGUCCAAGAAAUAAGGCGGGUACGUUGAAACGAUGGAGAAAGGAUGGAAUGCCACAGUGGUCGAGAUUAAGAGGAUCUCAUUCUGUUGCCCAGAUUGGAAUGCGAGAUCACAGC